UAGUCCACGCUGUAAACGAUGAGAACUAGCUGUUGGGUAUUAAUAUUUAGUGGCGCAGUUAACGCGAUAAGUUCUCCGCCUGGGGAGUACGGCCGCAAGGUUAAAACUCAAAUGAAUUGACGGGGGCCCGCACAAGCGGUGGAGCAUGUGGUUUAAUUCGAUGCAACGCGAAGAACCUUACCUACCCUUGACAUCCUGCGAAUCCUGUAGAGAUACGGGAGUGCCUUCGGGAAUGCAGAGACAGGUGCUGCAUGGCUGUCGUCAGCUCGUGUUGUGAAAUGUUGGGUUAAGUCCCGUAACGAGCGCAACCCUUGUCCUUAGUUGCCAUCAUUUAGUUGGGUACUCUGGGGAAACUGCCGGUGACAAGCCGGAGGAAGGUGGGGAUGACGUCAAGUCCUCAUGGCCCUUACGGGCUGGGCUACACAUGUGCUACAAUGGCGACUACAAUGGGCCGCAACCUCGCGAGAGGAAGCAAAUCCCCAAAGGUCGUCUCAGUUCGGAUUGCACU
RNAcentral lists this ribosomal RNA (508 nucleotides) under uncultured bacterium. Its description in RNAcentral is "bacterial SSU rRNA". It matches the Rfam family "Bacterial small subunit ribosomal RNA", at positions 791 to 1304 of the family's 1533-position model. The record is from RNAcentral.